Molecule: transfer RNA, 77 nt
Filed under: Bacillota bacterium
Lineage: Bacteria; Bacillati; Bacillota
Description: tRNA-Arg
Rfam family: tRNA
About the family: Transfer RNA (tRNA) molecules are approximately 80 nucleotides in length. Their secondary structure includes four short double-helical elements and three loops (D, anti-codon, and T loops). Further hydrogen bonds mediate the characteristic L-shaped molecular structure. tRNAs have two regions of fundamental functional importance: the anti-codon, which is responsible for specific mRNA codon recognition, and the 3' end, to which the tRNAs corresponding amino acid is attached (by aminoacyl-tRNA synthetases). tRNAs cope with the degeneracy of the genetic code in two manners: having more than one tRNA (with a specific anti-codon) for a particular amino acid; and 'wobble' base-pairing, i.e. permitting non-standard base-pairing at the 3rd anti-codon position.
Source: RNAcentral
GUUCUUGUAGCUCAGUUGGAUAGAGCGUAUGCCUCCGACGCAUAAGGUCGAGAGUUCGAUUCUCUCCAAGAACACCA